AGCCUGUGGAGGCCUGCUGGGAACAGGACUCCUAUAACGCCAAAUAAUGUCUGGGAGGCUGUGGUCCGAGGCCAUUUUUGCUGGCUAUAAGCGGGGUCUCCGAAACCAGAGGGAGCACACAGCUCUUCUUAAAAUCGAAGGUGUUUAUGCUCGAGAUGAAACGGAAUUCUAUCUAGGCAAGAGACGUGCUUAUGUGUACAAAGCGAAGAACAACACAGUGACUCCUGGUGGCAAACCAAACAGAACCAGAGUAAUCUGGGGAAAAGUAACUCGUGCUCAUGGAAACAGAUCGGAAGAGCAU
Molecule: non-coding RNA, 301 nt
Organism: Callorhinus ursinus (northern fur seal)
Lineage: Eukaryota; Metazoa; Chordata; Mammalia; Carnivora; Otariidae
Source: RefSeq, a predicted model, not a curated record